CUUUAUCGGAGAGUUUGAUCCUGGCUCAGGACGAACGCUGGCGGCGUGCCUAAUACAUGCAAGUCGAGCGGACAGAUGGGAGCUUGCUCCCUGAUGUUAGCGGCGGACGGGUGAGUAACACGUGGGUAACCUGCCUGUAAGACUGGGAUAACUCCGGGAAACCGGGGCUAAUACCGGAUGCUUGUUUGAACCGCAUGGUUCAAACAUAAAAGGUGGCUUCGGCUACCACUUACAGAUGGACCCGCGGCGCAUUAGCUAGUUGGUGAGGUAAUGGCUCACC
This 280-nucleotide ribosomal RNA is filed under the name Bacillus subtilis. Its description in RNAcentral is "Small Subunit Ribosomal RNA; ssuRNA; SSU rRNA". It matches the Rfam family "Bacterial small subunit ribosomal RNA", at positions 1 to 269 of the family's 1533-position model. Lineage: Bacteria; Bacillati; Bacillota; Bacilli; Caryophanales; Bacillaceae. The record is from RNAcentral.